Molecule: long non-coding RNA, 1403 nt
Organism: Acanthaster planci (crown-of-thorns starfish)
Lineage: Eukaryota; Metazoa; Echinodermata; Asteroidea; Valvatida; Acanthasteridae
Source: RefSeq, a predicted model, not a curated record
GCAAACCUAUGCACCCAAAGAACUUCAUAUGUUAGUACUGUACGGAGCUGCAAAAGAUAGCAUGGCUUCACGUACACUUCUCUACCUCUCGCUCUUUGCGUUCUGUGUCCUGGUUGCCAUGGUAACAUUGACAGAGGCCCAUGACGUGGACACCGCCGACACGGACCUCCAGCACCGAGUUGAGAGGCGGAGUUUGACCGAGGCACUCCUGGCGACGAGAUCAGUCAACACCGAGGGAGAGACGGGAGACACGGGCAGGAGAAAGGGUCGACGAGGGAAGAAAGGACGUGGGAAAGGAAAAGGGAGGAGAAAGGGAAGAAAAAACAAAGGACCACCGCAAUAUACCGCUUGCAUACACCCAGCCAACGGUUUGACAUGCACCUGUGACAUGAGAUUUGAGAAGUUCAAGAAUCAUCCCGUCAAACAGUACAAAUAUUACACGAUUUGCUAAGUGAUGGCAGAGCUUCCAAGAUUGAAGCGAGGACAGAAGUACCUCGAACGAAUGGACAACAAACAUCUAGGCCUAAGUCAACAACUAAGUCACAACAUAGCUUCAUGUUCACAUCAUGACGGGGGCGCAUGAACCCACAGCGCGCCUUGCCUGUGGCUUCCAAGGACGAUGACGCACAAGGCCCGUGUGCCGUGUGUCAAAGACGACAAGGCCGCCCUGAUUUUUCCCCUGACAAGUACAGUACAUGUACAGUAUUUGACGCCCAAGUUGAAAAACUGAACAAAGGUAAAAAGAAGAACAACUCGCGGUUGGUUGAAGGCUGGAUUUUUUUCAGAGGAUGUAACGAGUCUCCAAUUUCAGAACCAAAUCGGUCAUAUGCUCGAAUUUGAAAGCAUCGUCUGAAGGAAAGCCAACACACAACCAAAUAAUAGGGCCCAAGAGUUGAGGAGAAAUGUCGGUACAUAACUUCAAGUUCCUCUGUCGCUUCAGUGAAAUCCCACAAGACUUCCUGAGUUUCAAAUCCUAACAGAUUAUGACUUGCUUCGUAAAGUUUAUACUUGUUGACUGCUUUAUACCUGUAUAUUAUAUUUGUAUUAAACCUAUUUUCACUAUUACGCCUUUGCUGAAAUGUUAUUGUUUCAUGAGUGGAUUUUACUGCUGCUUGACGAUAAAAAAUGAUUUGCACUUUUAUUAAGAAACAGAAUUUCAAGUAAUAACGUUUGCUGCAUUUAUUUUAACAACCAGUUCAGUACAGAGAUAAUCAAUAAUUAGUUAAUUACAGGAACAGGGAAGAAUGAGGAAGCACUAAUGACUGUGGGUUGUCGAAGGCGUGAGUUCAAUAAAUUGAUGGCUGAGAUCGAGAUAGAUAGAAAAUGGAAUAUGGAAGGGCUGCAUAGCACCGUGAUCAGAAUAUCGACAAGAACAUAAAAUCAGUGCUCUGAAAUACGUGAUU